GAUGAACGCUAGCGGCAGGCUUAACACAUGCAAGUCGAGGGGCAUCGGGAGGGAAGCUUGCUUUCCUUGCCGGCGACCGGCGCACGGGUGAGUAACACGUAUGCAACCUGCCCUCUUCAGGGGGACAACCUUCCGAAAGGGAGGCUAAUCCCGCGUAUAUCGGUUUCGGGCAUCCGAGAUCGAGGAAAGAUUCAUCGGAAGAGGAUGGGCAUGCGGCGCAUUAGCUUGACGGCGGGGUAACGGCCCACCGUGGCGACGAUGCGUAGGGGUUCUGAGAGGAAGGUCCCCCACACUGGUACUGAGACACGGACCAGACUCCUACGGGGGGCAGCAGUGAGGAAUAUUGGUCAAUGGGAGAGAUCCUGAACCAGCCAAGCCGCGUGAGGGAAGACGGCCCUAUGGGUUGUAAACCUCUUUUGUCGGAGAACAAAACCCGGGACGUGUCCCGGACUGCGUGUAUCCGAAGAAAAAGCAUCGCCUAACUCCGUGCCAGCAGCCGCGGUAAUACGGAGGAUGCGAGCGUUAUCCGGAUUUAUUGGGUUUAAAGGGUGCGUAGGCGGUCCGUUAAGUCAGCGGUAAAAUUGCGGGGCUCAACCCCGUCGAGCCGUUGAAACUGGCAGACUUGAGUUGGCGAGAAGUACGCGGAAUGCGCGGUGUAGCGGUGAAAUGCAUAGAUAUCACGCAGAACUCCGAUUGCGAAGGCAGCGUACCGGCGCCAGACUGACGCUGAGGCACGAAAGCGUGGGGAUCGAACAGGAUUAGAUACCCUGGUAGUCCACGCAGUAAACGAUGAAUGCUGGUUGUCCGGGUCGAAUGAGAUCUGGGCGGCGAAGCGAAAGCGAUAAGCAUUCCACCUGGGGAGUACGCCGGCAACGGUGAAACUCAAAGGAAUUGACGGGGGCCCGCACAAGCGGAGGAACAUGUGGUUUAAUUCGAUGAUACGCGAGGAACCUUACCCGGGCUCAAACGGGAGUGGAAUGGACCAGAGACGGUUCAGCCUACGGGCCGCUUCCGAGGUGCUGCAUGGUUGUCGUCAGCUCGUGCCGUGGGGUGUCGGCUUAAGUGCCAUAACGAGCGCAACCCCCGCCGGCAGUUGCUAACGGGCAAUGCCGAGGACUCUGCCGGGACUGCCGCCGCAAGGCGAGAGGAAGGCGGGGAUGACGUCAAAUCAGUACGGCCCUUACGUCCGGGGCGACACACGUGUUACAAUGGGCGGUACAGCGGGAAGCCAGGCGGCGACGCCGAGCGGAACCCGAAAGCCGUUCUCAGUUCGGAUCGGAGUCUGCAACCCGACUCCGUGAAGCUGGAUUCGCUAGUAAUCGCGCAUCAGCCAUGGCGCGGUGAAUACGUUCCCGGGCCUUGUACACACCGCCCGUCAAGCCAUGGGAGCCGGGGGUGCUUGAAGUGCGUCGCCGCGAGGCGCGCCCUAGAGCAAAACCGGUGACUGGGGCU
This 1452-nucleotide ribosomal RNA is filed under the name uncultured bacterium. Its description in RNAcentral is "partial small subunit ribosomal RNA". It matches the Rfam family "Bacterial small subunit ribosomal RNA". The record is from RNAcentral.